GAGGGGAAAAAAGGAAAAUUGGCCGGGUUUCACAUGGAGCGGGGCACGAGGGUUCACUUUGCCCUUUAAGGGUUUCUCCAGGGACUGUUCAGCACCAGAGGCUCCCACUCGCUCCCAGCCUGGCCGUGGGAUGCUGAGGGUUCCCAGCGGCACCAGGAGCCGGGACCCCUCACCCCUCACCCCCCAUCGCUGGACCCCUCAUCCCGGGGGGAGGCAGUGACAGCCCCCCCGGCCCCCUCUAAUCCACGGGCCUCAGGCCUAAGGAAAGAACCCGCGGGGACCCCCAAGUUCACUGAACACAAAAGCGGCCCCGACCCCCCGCGCGUGGCUCGGCUCGGGUCCGCUCGGGGGGUCCCCAACGAGGGGCGACGCCCGGGCCGCGCCCCCGCCCCUCACGGCGGCCCCGGGCCCCCGGCGCGGUGCCCCCGCUCGGCCCCGCCAGGGCUUUCCCGCGGCCGUGCCCCGCUCCGGGCGGUACCUGUAGGCCAGGGACAUGCACUCGAACAGCUUCGUGAGGGACGCGUCGAUGCUGAGGCGGCCGCCGGCGCCGCCGCCGCCGCGGGCCGCCCCGAACUGAAGCCAUCUGCAAGAAGCCAGGGCACCUGGAGAAGAAGCUGGAGACCUGCAGCAAGCACUGCUGGAGUCAGAGAGAGGGCAGGACACGGAGCUUCUUCUGCCAGGCUCGUGGCUCACACCCCACGGUACCUGCUCAGUGGCGCUUGUGAAGGAACCACAAUUGUUCCAGGGGAAGGAAAGAUCAGAUUUCAUCCUUCUUAAAAAAGCAUAAAGGAAACAAUGGAUCUUGUAGGUCAACAUGAAAGCACAGCAAUAGGGCUGGUGAGGGGAGAGAGCAGCAUCCUACAGCACAAACCUCAUACCUGUACCUAUGUGUACACAAAGACAAGAGAAGAGGCCUUGAGUGUCCUCUGUAGAGCAAACCUCCAUCACCAAGAGAGCUAUCCUACAUGCCAUACUCCAAAACAUUGAUGCUAAAUUGUGAAUAUUAUUUCAGUUCUAGGACCUCAUACUUAAAAUGUAAAAACAGGCUUGUCUACACAGCCAUGCUCAGGAGGGAAAAAAACCUCCAAACACUGAAUUGCCACGUGCUACAUUCUCUGCUUCGUAAAACCAGAAAUAAGAUCAAGGGAAACUCAAGAGAUUGAGAGCAAGUCUUGGGCAUGCAAAGAAGAGCAUUCCUGCAGUAUCCCAAUUACGCCCAUGCAAUGAUCCAGCAUUCCCCAUUAGCAUGAAUCAAGGCUGAUCACUGUGUUUAGGGGAGGAGUGGUAGGUCAAACACUCCCCCACACAUGAAAGCAGCAGGAAGGCAUGGCCACAUCAUGUGAGGGCUCUCUUAGAGAUCUUUAAAAAUCAAAACCAACAUGCAGUUCUUACUUAGCAUCACAUACGACUCAAAUUCUGAAGGCCAGUCAUAUUUAGCUUCAAAGCUGGUUCUUGCUACCUUAUAUUAACAUUUACUUAAAAAAAUAGAAAAAAAAAGCUAUCUCCCAGCAAGGCAUUCUGACUGAGAAUACUUUAAGUACAAAAAAACCCCACAAACAUUUCAAAACAACAUUCACAGUUUUACAAUAUCUAUUUUAAGUCUUCCAUGUAGUUCAAGAACUAAACCUGAACUAAAAAAAUCAUGACACCUCAGUAACAGCACUGUGUAACACUUUCAUGACAACAGCCUAUACAUUUACCUCACUUAAUUCUAAGCAAGCCACGCAGGCUUCAUCCCAUAGGAAAAGAGGGAUAACUUGUCAAAAUAAAUUUAGGUAACAAUGCAAUUUUCUAGGAAGAGUAGCAGUACCAACCAUCACUUAUGGCACAGGCAGCAGCCUUAAGGUACAACUAACAUUUCACAAAGUUCAAGGUUUUCUCCUCUAGUCAGGUGCAAGGAUAGGGGCAUCCCUUAAAAUAAAUCCAGUUAUUUUGGAAACAGAUCUCUUGGUUUGCCUUAAGAUCAGCAUUUAGCUGAUCAGUACCAGGUCAAGCCUGCCUGUUCUCCACUCCUCCUCCACAGUAAGGAAUUCCAGGAAGCACAGGGAAAUACUAAGAGGCCCCAGCAGCAUCUUUGGAAUAUGUUUUUUCUUACUGUUUCUUUUCAUCAAUCCCCAGUGAGAGGUGAAACACAGGCCUCUGUCUUCUGAUGACGUUCCUUGAUCAAGGAACAUCAGUUCCUUGAACAAGGCUUUUAGCACAGGAGGAGGACUUAGCACUGCACUGCAACACACAGUGAGCAGAGACAUUCAAGCUGUUCAAAGACAUACCCACAGUGUAUUCCACACUACUUAGUGGUGAGAGAUUAUCCUCCUAAAUCUACAGACAGGAAGAUAAGCAUUCCCAUACUGAUGAGGGAAAGAGCUCAGGGAAGCUUCCUCCCAGCCUCAGACAGGGCUGGAUGCAGGCUCUGGGCAGGCUCUGCUGGCCGUCCUGCUCCCAGGAAAACCACAGGGACAACCUGUGUGUGCCCUGCUCCAGGCUCCUGCUGCUCCUUCACCCUUCCCUGGCACAAGCCUUACCUGUUCAGAGGCCUUUCCUUCUGGGACCCAUCUUGAGUUACAUCCUUGCUGCAACCUGUAUUCUCUCUCUCCAGUUCCACCCUGUAUGUAACUCCUUUAUAUACGUCUGUUAGUUCAAUUCACUGAUCUGGAGAAGGAAAAAAACCAACUACAUUGCAGUUUCUUCCCAGAUUAGUGAACUGUAGGGGUUAAUGGGGAUGUUAUGAGCACCCCAGCAAAUGCAAGGCAGGGAACAAACCCAACUGGGAGCAGGCAGGCUGGGCUCGCCCCUCUGGGAGCAAUGAGCCAGCAGGGCAGUCCAGCUGCCUGUGGAACCACAGGCCACUUUGGGACAGAGCACAUAGAACACUAAAAAUAAGCUGGACACUUUAUAUCCACCUUGAAUGUAAAGAAUCUUUCCAAAACUCCUCAGGAGUUUUACCCUUGCAAGCAUCGGACUCGAGCUUGUAUCCAAACUGAAGCACAUUUCCACACUCUGCCCUCCCUCCUCCCUCCAAUUUAAGUUACUGCAACACAUAACCUGAGUAAAAAAUGAGGAAUUUGGUACUUAAAUUACCACGUUAUUCUGCAGGUUGCUGUAAUUACAUGGGCCAUAUCUGUUCUGUUUGUUGUUCUUACAACCGCCGCCUGCCCCACCACACUGUCAAGACACCUUUGGACUGCUCAAAGGUGAAUCAUUUUACACAUUACCAAACAAGACAGCACCACAAAUGAACAUUUAAAAAUGCCAUUUAUAAAAAACAGAAAUUUAUUGUAAAUUAAAAAAAAAAACCAAACCAAAACAAACUGAGGUUAAGUUUCUUGAUAAAAAUUAUUCACACAGCAUUCGUGUUGUGAUUUUUUAUUUUAUUUUUUUUGAAAUGAAACCAUUGUACAUUGUACAAACCAUAACUACCGAUGGAAUAAAUAAGUGAAAAAUUAUACUGCUGUACAACACACACACACACAAAUCAUAAGAUGGAAAACGAUUAGGUAUUGAAGAAAACAAAAUUCUUUACACCUUCUAACAGGCCCUUAGAUAUAAAGAACAUUCCAAAACAUGACAAUGUUUAUGUAUGAAGAUAGCCACCCAAAACCGAUAUUUUAUACUGCCUUGUUGAUUUAUUUUUUUUUUUUGUUGUUUUGUAAGUGCCAGCACUUUUUGGAAUGUUUUAACAACUACUUUCCCAAGCAUAAAAAUUCCAAGGAAUAGUUCUGCUAUAAAAUGUUUGGCUGAGUAAAUCGCUUAUCUGGAAGGCCUUCCCACGUGUUCCACAAACUCAGCUAAGUUACUUGCUUGCUUCUAGUUUCUUUAUUUUUUUCCUUUUUUUUUUUUUUUUUCUUUUUUAGUUUUUUAUUUAUUUAUCUGUAACUGAAGCUCCAACAUUCAGCAUUGUAGCAAGGAAGCACUUCUUGAUAUUUGCACUAUUUCUAAAACAUCAGCUGUAUGAGAACUUUCAGUCAUCUUGAAGAAAAUUACAUCUCUCCUCCUGCUCCACCUCUCAAUGCUUUCAAUAAACCCUUUUACAGUGAGUUCAUAAAACAAGUUUCGGGUAGAGAUAGGUCCAAGCCAAAACCAGCUGGAUUUAGAUCUCGUUUCAAACCUCAGGUGGAUUUGAAUUCCAUAUUCUGGUUUGGUCCCAUCUGUACUUUCUGGCAUUAAAAUGUGUUUAAUCACAUCCGUUGGCCCAUAAAUGUUAUCAGGCACUUCAAAAAAAGACUAAUAACAGUCUUAUACACUAUUUUGGAUUUCUUCAUACCAGAUAAUGUCAAAGUCUCUUCCCUUAGAGACUGACAAUAACAGGUCUAAGGAACCCAAAUCUAUCUGCUUGUUCAGUUGUCUGUUGUCACUAGAAUCUCUGGUUAAAAUAAAAGAUCUGAAUGUAUUCUCUGUAAGCUGUAAAUAAAGGAUUCCUACCUCAGAAAUAAAGCCUCUAGGGAAGAUGGUUAUGAUGCCUUGUCUUGUAAGCCACAGAACAAUGAACAGUUCUGAGCAGAAGCCACAGGAGAGAAAAGGAAGUUUAUAAUUAAACCUGUUGAUGUCAAUAAUGCCAAUAAAUGCUUCUAUCUAAUGAAAAA
Long non-coding RNA from Pseudopipra pipra, 4580 nucleotides. RefSeq lists it as uncharacterized. The transcript has 2 exons. Lineage: Eukaryota; Metazoa; Chordata; Aves; Passeriformes; Pipridae. The record is from RefSeq and is a predicted model, not a curated record.